Molecule: long non-coding RNA, 315 nt
Filed under: Mus spicilegus (steppe mouse)
Lineage: Eukaryota; Metazoa; Chordata; Mammalia; Rodentia; Muridae
Description: lncRNA (ENSMSIG00000000367.1)
Source: RNAcentral
CUUAUCUCAAGCCAUUUAUUUUAUAGAAAUUAGUGACGUGCAGAAUGAAGGAAGGUGACAAGAACCUUAAGAAUAACAACUUCUGAAUUGAUCCAUUGACUAUCCCUGCUGCUUGUACCCUGGACUGCCUGCUGCCCAACUCUACUUGCCCUUGAGGAUUGGAGAGAGGAAGGCAGAAAGGAGCAUUUUGGAGAAGCUUCUCUGAGUAAUUGCCACUCUUCCACUGGAUAUAAGCUCUGUCACGUUCCUAAAAGACCUUGCAGUUCCAGUAGCAGCACCCACUCCACAUCCUUUCCAGGCUUGCCUAGUUAUUGA